AGCACUGGGGCUCAGAGGUAGAGCACUUGCCUCGCACUCACAAAGCCCUGAGUUUGAUUCUCAGCACUGCCA
This 72-nucleotide transfer RNA is filed under the name Heterocephalus glaber (naked mole-rat). It matches the Rfam family "tRNA". Rfam says of the family: Transfer RNA (tRNA) molecules are approximately 80 nucleotides in length. Their secondary structure includes four short double-helical elements and three loops (D, anti-codon, and T loops). Further hydrogen bonds mediate the characteristic L-shaped molecular structure. tRNAs have two regions of fundamental functional importance: the anti-codon, which is responsible for specific mRNA codon recognition, and the 3' end, to which the tRNAs corresponding amino acid is attached (by aminoacyl-tRNA synthetases). tRNAs cope with the degeneracy of the genetic code in two manners: having more than one tRNA (with a specific anti-codon) for a particular amino acid; and 'wobble' base-pairing, i.e. permitting non-standard base-pairing at the 3rd anti-codon position. Lineage: Eukaryota; Metazoa; Chordata; Mammalia; Rodentia; Bathyergidae. The record is from Rfam by way of RNAcentral.